CCUGCCCCUAGAGGCAUUGCAGGUGUGGCUGCUGUAUCACACGCGUGUCAGUAAGUGGCAGAGAGGAGAGAGGCUAUGUCUACACCCAGCGUUCUGCUCUGUAAACAUCAUUAGUAGCCUAACAUU
Small nucleolar RNA from Rattus norvegicus (Norway rat), 126 nucleotides. Ensembl annotates it as small nucleolar RNA SNORA17. The record is from Ensembl. NCBI's taxonomy places the organism in Eukaryota, Metazoa, Chordata, Mammalia, Rodentia, Muridae.